AAUGGGUCAGCGACUUAUAUUCUGUAGCAAGGUUAACCGAAUAGGGGAGCCGAAGGGAAACCGAGUCUUAACUGGGCGUUAAGUUGCAGGGUAUAGACCCGAAACCCGGUGAUCUAGCCAUGGGCAGGUUGAAGGUUGGGUAACACUAACUGGAGGACCGAACCGACUAAUGUUGAAAAAUUAGCGGAUGACUUGUGGCUGGGGGUGAAAGGCCAAUCAAACCGGGAGAUAGCUGGUUCUCCCCGAAAGCUAUUUAGGUAGCGCCUCGUGAAUUCAUCUCCGGGGGUAGAGCACUGUUUCGGCAAGGGGGUCAUCCCGACUUACCAACCCGAUGCAAACUGCGAAUACCGGAGAAUGUUAUCACGGGAGACACACGGCGGGUGCUAACGUCCGUCGUGAAGAGGGAAACAACCCAGACCGCCAGCUAAGGUCCCAAAGUCAUGGUUAAGUGGGAAACGAUGUGGGAAGGCCCAGACAGCCAGGAUGUUGGCUUAGAAGCAGCCAUCAUUUAAAGAAAGCGUAAUAGCUCACUGGUCGAGUCGGCCUGCGCGGAAGAUGUAACGGGGCUAAACCAUGCACCGAAGCUGCGGCAGCGACACUAUGUGUUGUUGGGUAGGGGAGCGUUCUGUAAGCCUGUGAAGGUGUGCUGUGAGGCAUGCUGGAGGUAUCAGAAGUGCGAAUGCUGACAUAAGUAACGAUAAAGCGGGUGAAAAGCCCGCUCGCCGGAAGACCAAGGGUUCCUGUCCAACGUUAAUCGGGGCAGGGUGAGUCGACCCCUAAGGCGAGGCCGAAAGGCGUAGUCGAUGGGAAACAGGUUAAUAUUCCUGUACUUGGUGUUACUGCGAAGGGGGGACGGAGAAGGCUAUGUUGGCCGGGCGACGGUUGUCCCGGUUUAAGCGUGUAGGCUGGUUUUCCAGGCAAAUCCGGAAAAUCAAGGCUGAGGCGUGAUGACGAGGCACUACGGUGCUGAAGCAACAAAUGCCCUGCUUCCAGGAAAAGCCUCUAAGCAUCAGGUAACAUCAAAUCGUACCCCAAACCGACACAGGUGGUCAGGUAGAGAAUACCAAGGCGCUUGAGAGAACUCGGGUGAAGGAACUAGGCAAAAUGGUGCCGUAAC
Molecule: ribosomal RNA, 1117 nt
Filed under: Escherichia coli
Lineage: Bacteria; Pseudomonadati; Pseudomonadota; Gammaproteobacteria; Enterobacterales; Enterobacteriaceae
Description: partial 23S ribosomal RNA
Rfam family: Bacterial large subunit ribosomal RNA
Source: RNAcentral